UCCGCGCGCCCGCCCCCGGAGGGGCCCCGGGACGCGGCCGCCGGAGGAAGGGCUUUCCCCGGGCUCGCGAGCGGGCCUGAGGGCAGAGAGCGGAGGGGGCCGGCCUGAGCGCUCCCCUCCGGCUGCGCUCGGCUUUUACACACGAAUGUCCGGAGGGAACCCAGAGAAAAUUCCAGGGAAUCUGGAGCUCAAAGCUCCAGCAGAUUCACCUCACCUCACCCUCCCCGACCUGCGGGGCACGGCCGCCCUGCACGGACCCACAGGGUCUGUCUCAUUUUUUCUCGAAAAGGAGAGUGCGUUCUGAGCUUCCUUUCUAAGGCUCUAAUCAUUUGGAAGUCACUUUUCUCACCUAAGGAGAAUUUGCGUUUUAACAAGGGGGAUAACCUUGACGUACCCAAAGGAGUGGCUAAUUGUGGAAUUACUGGCAUAGGCGAGAUAAUCUGGAAGGCAGAGAGACCUCCCUCGGUCCCCGAAACCCCUGUAACUAGCGAUGCAAGGCCGGGAAUGGAGCACAUGUAUCACAGCCCCAAGAAUGAAAGCCAUGUGCUAGCACGGAGUAGAGAGAAGACUCCAGGCUCCUAAAGGCACCGUGGAGCCUCCAGGUCUGCCCUGUUCUGCUUACUCCAGUUCUGCACCUUGGAAGACUUUUCCAUCGGGCACGAUGGAAAGCUCUGCGUGUGUCCCCCUGCUCCUGCUCCCCAGCACCCUGCGCCCCUCCCUGCUUCUCUCAAAGCACCAUCACACCCUGGCAAUCAUCUGCUUACCUGUCUCUCUGACGUGUUUGAAGGCACAGAGCUUGCACUCAAUGAAGUUGUGCCGGGAGAAGGGUGACCAGGGACACUGCUGUGUCUUCCUCAUCCUCCUUCUGAAGAAAGAAAAAGGUAUCCUUGAGGGACACACAGGAGAGGCCCCCAGCCAGUGGCCUCCCCGCCCCCUCUGUCCGGGGAGCAUCGAACAGGAAAGGAAAUUGGAUA
This is a long non-coding RNA of Camelus dromedarius (Arabian camel), 974 nucleotides long. RefSeq lists it as uncharacterized. The transcript is spliced from 3 exons. NCBI's taxonomy places the organism in Eukaryota, Metazoa, Chordata, Mammalia, Artiodactyla, Camelidae. The record is from RefSeq and is a predicted model, not a curated record.